This is a long non-coding RNA of Canis lupus familiaris (dog), 2793 nucleotides long. RefSeq lists it as uncharacterized. NCBI's taxonomy places the organism in Eukaryota, Metazoa, Chordata, Mammalia, Carnivora, Canidae. The transcript is spliced from 6 exons. The record is from RefSeq and is a predicted model, not a curated record.
AGUACUUGGUUUUGCUUCCAUUAUUUCAUAUGAAGUGUGACUUUUCUGUUCAGACUUACCUGUGCUACCAAAAGAGUGAAGCUACAUUCCCACAUUUCUCUUGGGUUGACCCUCUUCCUACAAAACUGGGACAAGCAACCUCCUGGACGCACUGAUGCCUCCCUAGUAGUGAGCCCUUUGUGAGAGGAAGACCUCAAAAAGCUUUCCAGAGGCUCGACAGAGCCAGAUCCUCCCAUUUUUCCCAUAAGAUGCAAACAGAAGACUCCUGGACGCUGCUUCCAGAAUAAAUUUUUCUGGGAAAAAGGAAUAGUCGUAGCCAGUACAACCCUGCCAUUCCCCCUUGGUGCUGCCUUGAAUGUGCUUCUCACAGUUCCCACCUGGAAAAUUAUCUAACUGCCCAGAGCUGUCUUUCUUUGGAAGCAGAAGACUUCCAUUCCCUGCUUCUUCGUGCCCAGGGAGCUGGGUGCUCUUGUGGCACAAUGAGAUGUGUGUCCUCACAACAAGGCUUGGGAUGCACAUGCAAUGUCUGGACCUGCAGCCGCCAUCUUAAGGUCACAAGCAAAAGGCCAUUAACACUGAGGAUGGCAAAGAAGGAUGGAAAAAACAUGGAAGGAUCAUCAAGUGACUGAACAGUCUCCGACACCACUUAGCUCCAGACUUCUUAAAUACUUUUCCUUCGGUUUUGCCUGCAUUCACUAGAGAGCCCUCCAGCCUCUCCUCCUGCACAACAGCCAUUCAUGGCCUUUUUUUUUACUGCCUGACAUCGAAGGUUAAUCCAGCAACAUAAAGGAAACCCUGACUUCAGAUCUUUAAAGCAUCCUGCUUAAGAAGGUUCUAGAAUUGGACUCGUAUCACUGGCAUUUCCCCAGGGACCUGGCUAUGGAAACCUCCCUCUUCCUCGUUCUUCCGCUAUUUUGGGCCUACCUCCUAACUGGGGCCAGACUGGGGUUUACUGUGCAAGCCUGCCGGCCCCAGAGGCCCGGGGAGUUCACCAAAGGGCCAGCCCCAGGAAAGGAGAUGGACCCCGGGCAGGAGCAGCAGCCUCUGCAUCGGGAGACUUUCCUGCGUGACUCACUGUCUCCGUGAUGCCUGUUCCUGGGCUUGGUGCCAGGGACACCACUGUCCCCUGUGCACCAGCUGCUUUGUCCCAACGGGGAUCUAAAGGGCUCCCCUGCCUUUCCUCCGCAUUUCCCUGUGAGGCUCUGGAUGAUUCCAAAUCAGUCCUUUGGCAUCCAAAUCAGUGUAACUCGAGGGCCACACCUUCUCCAUCCACUGGGAGUUCAUCUGCCACCGAGCAGCACAUACAAGGUUGCUGCUGAUGAAAACUGGAGGAAAGAAUGGAGUGCAUGCGUGUCCAACGCAGAGACAAGCUGAGAGAGGCAAACGGACAGAAACGGAAACAGAGACAGAGAACAGAGAGGGGCAAAGAGUUACAGAAGAAUUCCUAAACAGAGAUAUUAUUUUCUUUUGAGUAGUUCUAUUUUGACUAAGAGUUUCACUAUUUGUAACCGGUAAAUCUUCCUGCUGUGUAACCCUGGUCAAGUGUCCCCUUAACAACUCCUCUGGAGGCGACCUGGGGGAGGAGCUAUGACCCGAGAGCACUGCCUUUGGGAGCAUUUGUCUUUGGCCAGAUAUCCCUGGACAUUCAGAAUGUGGGGACCCAGUCAGGUGCAAAGGAGACACCCCAGAUUCCCAACAAGGACCUCCUAGAGGCCACAGAUGGCAGCGAGUCCCCCCUUGGAGCACUCCUGGGCUCUCCUUCUUACCAAGCUGUGAGAGGAGCUUCUGGGGAGCUCCCCGAGAUCCGAGGACCCUCACACCCAGCCAGAGUGGCCUCCGAGGCAGCCGGUGGUCCGCACCAGCCCCACAAAGCAAACAAGUCGAGGGAGUGGAAGCAGCACUAGCUUGGGAGCAGCUUUUGUCCACCCAACUCCUCAAGGCCUCUGGGCUCAGGUUGCUCACGUGUGAGAUGCCAGGGGGAAAGGAGUCAUACAGUCCACAUUCAUGCUCCGAGCGCUCACGGAGGGUCAAGGAUGUGUGGGGUUGCAGAAACAAAAAGCCAGACGGCCCACGUGGACUCAGGAGACAUCACCGAGCCUAUAGGCCCGGGUCUCUGAGGGCCCUUCCGCCACACGUUCUCUCAAUAGUUUCACAGUGGCAAGAGGGCAUCCCUAAUCUCCUGACCUAAUGAAUUCAGCCCCUCCUAAGCAAGAGGAAUCACGUUUUGUUUGUUUGCCUACAAAAGUUUGGGUUCCCAAACUUAACUACUUGCCACUUGCAGUGUGGGUGUCUGAAAUGUUAAUUGGGCCUCACCACAGUCCCUAGGGAGGUAGGUGCUGUGCCAUCUGCCGCAGUCAGACACACGCUUCAGGCUCCUGUCUGCUCGGGGCACCAUAUGCACUACGUCAAAGAGGCACAGCCCAGCUGUCCAGAAGCUUCUAGAAACCCUGGAGCUCACCCACAGAAAGGACAAAGAAACAACUGAGCAAACUGGGAUAAAAUGGUGUUGUCAGACCAACAAAGGGAAUGCAAACGAAGAGCUGGUGAAGAACCAGAGAUGGUGGGGAGGGGGGUGGUGAGAGAAGGAGAGAGAUGAGUCUGCCCAGGCUGGACAAUGGGGUUGGGGUGUGGGGUCACUCCCUCUGUCUCCUUGGUCCGGGCUUGCCAGGAUCUUUUGAAUGGUGGACAAAAGAGGAUAGAGAGCAAUGGGGUGGGGACCCAGGAUGAGGCCCCACGGGGACUGCCCAUCCCAAAGGGGUGGGGACAUGGGUGCAAAGUCACGAAGGCGGGUAA